This is a long non-coding RNA of Triticum aestivum (bread wheat), 2628 nucleotides long. RefSeq lists it as uncharacterized. Lineage: Eukaryota; Viridiplantae; Streptophyta; Magnoliopsida; Poales; Poaceae. The record is from RefSeq and is a predicted model, not a curated record. The transcript is spliced from 3 exons.
UCUCCCUGCCUCCUACUCUUCGUAGCCGCCGCCCACGUACGAACUCGUUUGUUGCCGCCGCUGCCGUCCGAGGGGAGACGCCGUCGCUGCGUCUCCAGGACGGGGCGGCUUGAAUCCCUGUCGCCGGGAUCGCCCCGCCGAACUCCGGGCCAUGGCGAGAUCCAGCAGGCCAUGGCGGCGACCAGCGCCGGGACAGGUCCAGGAUGCCGCCGGCGUCUCCGUGAUCCGUGACCCCGACGCCAUGGAGCUGCUCGUCAAGGCACGCAGGCACGCGCGGGUCCAGCGGCAGGAAGGGCAGAGAGGAGGACCGAGCUCGCCGGUGCGCGUGACCAAGGGAUGUAGCUGCCCGGAACUACUUCGCCCUCGACGAAGAGGAGACCGCGCGCCAGAGCUCCUGGUCUCCCAGGGCCGCCGAGCGCAAGGAGCUAUUGCCAUGGCACCUCCUCGCUCGCCCUCGGUGCGGCGGCCGUGUAUAUGGAAUUGUGCCCUGGUGGGGGCUCCGAGGGAGGAAACCGAAGAGCACAAGGCGCUAUUGCCAUAGCGUCCGGAGGGAGGCAUGACGCGCAUGGCUACAGGGAAUCCGCCGACGACAUAUGUGGCUUCUCCUACGCCUGAUGUUGCUGUCAUUGCAGCGGCGGCAGCGGAUCUGAGUCCCACCCGUUGGGAUCGAACGACAGAUGGCGUGAGGCAGCUGGAUGCGAGUCCCACUUCCAACCCGAGGGCUCGACCUUCUCGAUUCCUGGCUGCGGCGGGUGCGGAACUCCGAAGUGACGGUGAACUCGCUGGCGCCGCACUGCCCCCACACAAGCGCCAUCAGGUCUGCAAGCUCUGGUCGCUUGUCUUGAUAUCAGCCAUGUAAUCAUAUCUCACUUCAUUGUGCAAUCUUGUUUCUGAUUCUUGGAGCUUGGACAUCUGAAAUUCUUUGUUUGGAAGCAUAUUUUUUCAGAUUGUUUCAUCUUAGUUUAUUGAUAACAAAAUUGUUACCUUUCUUAAUCUUUGGUUGGACCAACUAAUUCACAAGCUUUUAGGUCAGAAUUUUCACGAGUAUACUCACUUAGGCUAUAGUUUUUCCUUUUGUUUUCUUUUAACUCCCAGAAAAACAACAGCGUGCAUUGCAUCAUAUUAACCACUUGAUAUUACAGUGAUCAAUAUAUAGGAAUUUCAACGCAAGAAACAACUAAUAAGGUUGCUGAAAGGGUUAGGAUUUGAACUUAAGGUUUUUUCUUGCUUAGCAGUUCAGUUUAUUGAAUUAAAUAGUUGCAUAUCUCUUCUAUUAUAAUUGGAUUUUUGCAAAGAUCUUUUCAGACGAAGAGAUCACGGGCUUAUUGGCUUAAGCAAAUGAUCAAAUCCUUGGGCACUGAUAAAAAUUACUGAUGUGUGUGUGUGUGUGUGUGUGUGUGUGUGUGUGUGUGUGUGUGUGGUGGCAGCUGGCAUGUGAGUUUGCACUGACACAUCUAAAUAUGUUUUCUUAACAAUUAGUGAUCAGGGCAAUACUGUUUUCUUAACAACUCGUUUGUUGUGCAUGAAUACUAAAUAUGUUUGACACAACUGAUGUUAAAUUGUUAGAGUAUUCACGCUCCCGUUGCGAUGCACGGGUGAUUACCAGAUGAGUGUGAUACAGUAUAUUUCAAUUUUUUGUGCAGUUGUAUCAGCUACGACUUGUAAGGUAUAAACUUUGGGACUGUAUAUAGAGAAAAAAAGUAUUUUUCCUGCACUACACACUUAAAUCAUUAUAUUGCUAAUGCAAGUGAAAAAUCAACAUUUCUUAUUGAGCCAUGCUAAUGUUUCUCUUUGUUUAAUUGCGUACUCCUUUUGCUUACUUCUUUAGAAAGCACUUCGCUCUGUUGCACACAAGCAAGAGCUAUUUCUGCACCAAUCUGUCCAAAGAUAUAAAGUUUGAACCAGCCCUUAGCUUGCAUUUGGUAAGUUAAUCUUUGAGGAGAAUAUUCAUCUUACUUAGUUCGAGGUGAAAUUUUGUUUGUCGCAUCAGGAAUCAAAAAAAUAUGGUGCCUCCGUAUCUUUAUAUAAAGUCCUUACUAUAUAUAUUGCUCCUUUCCAUUGAAUUGGAUGUAACAUUGUGUACACUUAAUGUCAAGACUAAUGUCUAUCGCCAAUUUCAGUAUAGUCAAAACAUAUUGAUGGCACUGAAAAUGAUUCUGCUUUUGCAGGUCUGACCUGACUCUUCUUUGUACAUAUGUAAUUGGUUUAUUUCUUGAUAGGGUGGUACUCUCUGAAUUUCUUGAUGAGCGUUCCCGUUGCUGCACCGCAUUGUGGCCAAGUCCUCUUCUUGGCCAUGCCAGUGACAUGAGCAGGAUGGUGUAUACCGGCUUCCCAGACAUGUGUCUGUCGAGGCCGCACCGGGUUUGUGGAGGUGAUGGCACGAGUAUUUACCAGGAUGCUUAGAGAUCCGUUGGCAUAUGUCCAGGUAAUGAAAUUGUUUAUGAUGUGUCUGCCGAGCGUUUGGGAAGAGAAGCAUGGUGCCAAUACAUACUUUUGGUUCUUAACCCAGAUGAUCUCAUUUAAAGUUGUUGGCGUUUGUUAUAAUCAUUCUUGAUGAGCUGCACAACGCUUCAUGUAUUGCACUAUUAAUGUCGUUUAUUUGGUGGUCAAACUCCUGUUCCACUCCUA